RNAcentral lists this ribosomal RNA (465 nucleotides) under Vreelandella stevensii. Its description in RNAcentral is "partial 16S ribosomal RNA". It matches the Rfam family "Bacterial small subunit ribosomal RNA", at positions 338 to 795 of the family's 1533-position model. Lineage: Bacteria; Pseudomonadati; Pseudomonadota; Gammaproteobacteria; Oceanospirillales; Halomonadaceae. The record is from RNAcentral.
CCUACGGGUGGCAGCAGUGGGGAAUAUUGGACAAUGGGGGCAACCCUGAUCCAGCCAUGCCGCGUGUGUGAAGAAGGCCCUCGGGUUGUAAAGCACUUUCAGUGAGGAAGAACGCCUGGUGGUUAAUACCCAUCAGGAAAGACAUCACUCACAGAAGAAGCACCGGCUAACUCCGUGCCAGCAGCCGCGGUAAUACGGAGGGUGCGAGCGUUAAUCGGAAUUACUGGGCGUAAAGCGCGCGUAGGUGGCUUGAUAAGCCGGUUGUGAAAGCCCCGGGCUCAACCUGGGAACGGCAUCCGGAACUGUCAAGCUAGAGUGCAGGAGAGGAAGGUAGAAUUCCCGGUGUAGCGGUGAAAUGCGUAGAGAUCGGGAGGAAUACCAGAGGCGAAGGCGGCCUUCUGGACUGACACUGACACUGAGGUGCGAAAGCGUGGGUAGCAAACAGGAUUAGAUACCCUUGUAGUC